ACAUAAGUUACUAAGGGCUUAUGGUGGAUGCCUUGGCACUAGAAGGCGAUGAAGGACGUGCAAACCUGCGAAAAGCUACGGGGAGCUGGUUGGAAGCGAUAAUCCGUAGAUGUCCGAAU
This 119-nucleotide ribosomal RNA is filed under the name Mycoplasma bradburyae. Its description in RNAcentral is "partial 23S ribosomal RNA". It matches the Rfam family "Bacterial large subunit ribosomal RNA", at positions 1 to 119 of the family's 2925-position model. Lineage: Bacteria; Bacillati; Mycoplasmatota; Mollicutes; Mycoplasmatales; Mycoplasmataceae. The record is from RNAcentral.